AUAAUUAUAUUUUGCUCUCAGUUACGUGGAGUUUGGUUUCUGACAUUCGGUGUUGAUUAUUGGAACUGGAAUGUUUUGUGGAAAUGUCACAUCGUGGCACCUUUCAACAUUACAGUGAAUGAGAUGAAUAUGUACACGUACAAUAUUCCUAAAGAUAAAUCGGAGGCUCCACAUACCGUAAUAACAGCCAGCAAGCGGGAUUCUUUGGGCCAAUAUUGGAUGCAAACACACACCGGACAGACCUGGUUUCACUCACAUCCGCAUCUUUGCUCAACCGAUUACUCUACAUUCUACAAAUAAAAGAUUUGCACACCCCUGCAUUAGCUCAUUACUGGUAGAAAGCGAUGUUUCAAUUCCAGACGUAUUAAAAAUAGACAAUUAUGACAAUUGUAAACAGUCUCAGUGCAGUUCACAUAUAAAUAUUUGCUUUUGGAUUAAUUAAACCUGUUUAUCAAGGCAUAUUGGCGAUGAAUUUAAUUUCUUGCUGCACUGAAGAAUUCACACAAGCGCAAUUUUCAGUUUUAUCGGUUUAGACGCCCGCGCUUAGAGAGGCAUCAGGCAACCUCGUUGUCCGGCCUGACAAUGUGCCUGUGAUGUUUUUUAUUUCUCUAAUAUCAUACUUAUCGCCAACCAGGUGCACAUUCUGACUACUGUCAAUUUCGUUUUGUAUUAUCACUUACACUUAGUGACGUACCUGCUACUCAUUCUCACUCUAAGUCCUGGAUUCCUACCCGUCCUGGUUAUGAACUCCAUUGCUCAGCAUUAUCUCACUACUUCUCUCGCGUUUCUUGUCCUUUUUAACGCGUCGACUUGCUUUUUCCACUCGAUUAUAUUUUCUUUUUUAACCUG
Molecule: non-coding RNA, 849 nt
Organism: Styela clava
Lineage: Eukaryota; Metazoa; Chordata; Ascidiacea; Stolidobranchia; Styelidae
Source: RefSeq, a predicted model, not a curated record